ACGUAGGCACCAAGCGUUGUCCGGAUUUAUUGGGCGUAAAGAGCUCGUAGGCUGUUCAGUUAGUUGGGUGUGAAAACUCCGGGCUUAACCCGGAGCCGCCACCCAAUACUGCUGUGACUAGAGUUCGGUAGGGGAGCGGGGAAUUCCUAGUGUAGCGGUGAAAUGCGCAGAUAUUAGGAGGAACACCGGUGGCGAAGGCGCCGCUCUGGGCCGAAACUGACGCUGAGGAGCGAAAGCAUGGGUAGCAAACAGGAUUAGAUACCCUGGUAGUCCAUGCCGUAAACGUUGGGCACUAGGUGUGGGCUUCAUCCAACGAAGUCCGCGCCGUCGCUAACGCAUUAAGUGCCCCGCCUGGGGAGUACGGUCGCAAGACUA
This 375-nucleotide ribosomal RNA is filed under the name uncultured bacterium. RNAcentral's name for it is "bacterial SSU rRNA". It matches the Rfam family "Bacterial small subunit ribosomal RNA", at positions 525 to 896 of the family's 1533-position model. The record is from RNAcentral.